UAACCAUAGAACAAAAAUUCUUUUCGAAGACCCAUAGAAGAAAAAGCUGGCAGGAGUAAAGCCAGGCUAUGAGCCUACAGGACCGUCAAGUCACUAAGUCCCUGAAAAUGGCUACAGCA
Molecule: small nucleolar RNA, 119 nt
Filed under: Dasypus novemcinctus (nine-banded armadillo)
Lineage: Eukaryota; Metazoa; Chordata; Mammalia; Cingulata; Dasypodidae
Description: Small nucleolar RNA SNORA33 (ENSDNOG00000029460.1)
Source: RNAcentral